RNAcentral lists this ribosomal RNA (125 nucleotides) under Phialophora sp. RNAcentral's name for it is "partial small subunit ribosomal RNA". It matches the Rfam family "Eukaryotic small subunit ribosomal RNA", at positions 1657 to 1779 of the family's 1831-position model. Lineage: Eukaryota; Fungi; Ascomycota; Eurotiomycetes; Chaetothyriales; Herpotrichiellaceae. The record is from RNAcentral.
CCUUUGUACACACCGCCCGUCGCUACUACCGAUUGAAUGGCUCAGUGAGGCUUUCGGACCGGCCCAGGGAGAGUGGCAACACUCACCCAGGGCUGGAAAGUUGUACAAACUUGGUCAUUUAGAGG